GUUGGGGAGGCCGAGUGGUUAAGGCGUUGGACUAGAAAUCCAAUGGGAUCUUCCCGCACAGGUCCGAAUCCUGCUCGCAACG
Molecule: transfer RNA, 82 nt
Filed under: Nematostella vectensis (starlet sea anemone)
Lineage: Eukaryota; Metazoa; Cnidaria; Anthozoa; Actiniaria; Edwardsiidae
Rfam family: tRNA
About the family: Transfer RNA (tRNA) molecules are approximately 80 nucleotides in length.
Source: Rfam by way of RNAcentral